This 253-nucleotide ribosomal RNA is filed under the name uncultured bacterium. RNAcentral describes it as "partial 16S ribosomal RNA". It matches the Rfam family "Bacterial small subunit ribosomal RNA", at positions 524 to 776 of the family's 1533-position model. The record is from RNAcentral.
GACGAAGCGUACAAGCGUUAUUCGGAAUUACUGGGCUUAAAGGGUGCGUAGGCGGCGGUGCAAGUUGGGUGUGAAAUCCCUCGGCUCAACCGAGGAACUGCGCUCAAAACUGCAUCGCUUGAGGGAGAUAGAGGUGAGUGGAACUUAGGGUGGAGCGGUGAAAUGCGUUGAUAUCCUAAGGAACACCAGUGGCGAAAGCGACUCACUGGGUCUCUUCUGACGCUGAGGCACGAAAGCUAGGGUAGCGAACGGG